Molecule: long non-coding RNA, 799 nt
Filed under: Monomorium pharaonis (pharaoh ant)
Lineage: Eukaryota; Metazoa; Arthropoda; Insecta; Hymenoptera; Formicidae
Description: uncharacterized LOC118645026
Source: RNAcentral
AAAUCGAUCAAAUAUAAAGUUUAAUAUGGAUUCUGUUAUAGACAUAAUAUAUUUAUACAUUGAGCGUUUGUCUUCAUUUAAAGAGUGGAAGUAUGAUAAAAGUAGAAAAAGAAACACUUAUAUAUUAUAUAUGCGGAAGAGAGAAUGAAUGCAAGGAGCACCAAACAAAGUGAUUUUUUUUCUGUCUUUACUUUAUUCCAAUUUCCUCAAUAUUUAAUCUAAAUAUUAUGGCUGUUUUUCAAUAAGAUACAUAAAUAACAGCUAAUUUAUAUCUAUAGAUUUUUCAUAAUAUACAUAUAAAUAGUUUUCCCAUAAUUCUUAAGUAACUAUAUGUAUAUUUUCAACUUUUAUCUAGAAAUUCACUUAAAAAAAAGGCAUUAUUUAUUUUGUCACCGCUUUUCCGCGAUGCUGAUUGGUUGUUGGUCAAGUUUGUACUAUGUGACUUGCUUCACACUGUCGUCUGCUGCUGUCUAACUUUUGACAAUUCAUCGCAUUGGACAAAAACUUUUAACAGUUCCCAGUAUUUGAAAAUCUCAAUUUGAUUGAGAAAGAGAAAGAGAGCCAGUUUUUGAGAAACGAAAGAAAUUUUAUAGAGAAAGAAAAAGAUUAGUGUGAGAGUUAAGUGUAAAAGAAAGAAAGAAGUUUAACCGAAAAGAAAUAAUUAAAUAAAGAGUUGGAAAAAGAGAAAGCGAGAAAUUACGUUUGGCAAGUAAUUAGAAGGAGAUACAGCGAGUGAGAAAGAAAGUUUUAGAGAAGAAAUAAAGAAAAAUAACAGUGAUAGAGAAGAGGGAGGGAGAGA